Molecule: RNA transcript, 2146 nt
Organism: Pistacia vera
Lineage: Eukaryota; Viridiplantae; Streptophyta; Magnoliopsida; Sapindales; Anacardiaceae
Gene name: poly(ADP-ribose) glycohydrolase 1-like
Exons: 7
Source: RefSeq, a predicted model, not a curated record
CAUAGAGACUGGCAACGAAGCAUCAAAACGAAGAAGAAAAUGGAGAAAAGAGAAGACUUGAAGUGAAUUUUACCCUACUUGCCAUUGUUGGUUAGAUCAUCAACUCUGUUUUGGCCAUCCAAAGUAGUCGAAGCUCUUAAAUCAAUGUCGAAAGGACCCGAAAACAGCCGGGUCAACUCAAGAGAAGUGCUUUCUGUGGCGAUUUGUGAUAUCAAAAGCUCGCUCUUUCUCUUUGAAUCUCUCGCUCCUUUGGCCCUCAAUGGUUACACGCUUUUCUUUGAUAAUGUUUUGUUGUUGAUGUUUCAAUGGGAAGGGGAUUUUGUGUUCAUGGGUAUGUUUUUCACUUGAAUUUUGUUGGUUUAUUGAGUUUCUUGUGGUUAAUGUGAUGUGAAAUUUACAAGUUCUGUGUCAUGGUUAUGUUUAAUAGUUUGAAUGUGAAGUGAAAUUUAUGAGUUUUAGGUUGAUGGAUAUGGUUUUGCCGUACAAUUAUGAAGAACUUAUUGGCUAGAAUCAUGAUGUAUGUCAAAAGCUCUUUUUGAAGAGAAUUUGGAUGAGCACAAGAUAUUGGUGAACUGUUUGACGAAUAGCUAAUUACAUAAAGAUUUUAUUAUCUCUGAAGCUGAAUAAGGAGGUUUUAUGCAGCUUAUAUCUUGGGCGGAAUCAACAAAAUGGUUCUUCUAGCACUAGCAAGUUUUCUCUUGCAGUUGCCCUCUCUAUUAGAAAUUCACUAUCAAAAUGCAGAUGAUUUUCUUGGAAAAUAUGGCAUCCAAACGCGUCUCAGCAAUUGGGUCCACAAGAAGCAGGCAUAGUGUUCCCCAGCCAGGUAUCUUUAUAUUCGGGCUAACAAUUGUGAGGCACACGAUUCAGUGCACUGUCAAAGCUAAGAUAUAUCAGUAUUUUAGGUCUACUAAAAAAUUGCUAUAUAUAAGUUGCAUAAAUGCUGCAAAACUUGAUAUUUCCUGUGUCAUAUAAUCUAUCAGAUAAGAGACCACCUUAUCAUCUUAAAAAUUGUUUCUUGGGCCUUUUCCAGUAGUUUCAUUGCUUAUUCUUCUUCGCUUUCGGUUGUUUUUCUAAUAUGGCAUAAUCAUUGAUAGUUUAAAUAUUGCUUUUCAGGAAUUGAUUGUUGCUCUUCUCGCAUGCUCUUUCUUUUGUUUGUUCCAUCUUCCAACCAUCAACUUUCAUGAAUUGUUUGCAAGGUUCUUCCUUUAGACCAUCAUCCUUCAUUCCUCUUUAUAUCUUGAAGCUUACACGUGGAGCAAAUCCAUCGUACCCCUCUGCCCUUUUGAGGCUUACAGUUUAGGCUCAAUAGAAGAUCACCCCACCAAUGGUCUUCAAGUAGAUUUUGCAAACAAGUAUAUUGGAGGUGGUGCACUUCACAGGGGGUGUGUGCAGUGAUCAUGUGGAUAAAAGGAAUAUUGAUGUUUUUCGGAGACGUAAAACGUGGAUAAUUGCUAUAGAUUCAUUAUGCUGGCCCGGAAGAAAACAAUAUGCGCUCAAAUACUUCCUUCGGGAGACAAAUAAAGCUCUUUGUGCGUUUAUUGAUCAAUCUAAAUUUGGUCAAUAUGAAAGACUUUAUCUAGACAUCGGACCUCAUGAAGCCAAGGAUAAAGACAACAUAUCAAGGAAUAAUUUUUCAGUGCGAGUGAGUUGUCAGUUUCUGAAACAACAGGAUUCUCCAGGGAUUGUGUCUGGGAAUUGGGGAUGUGGUGCUUUAGGGGAAGAUCCUGAGCUGAAGGCCAUAAUUCAGUGGCUUGGUGCUUCACAGGUAAUAAUUCCUUAUAAGAAUACUGUAAAGGCAUGUUAUAUAUUUAUAAAUAGUUCGUCUCUCCUGCAAACUUCUUGAUUUUUUUUAGUUGCGGAUUUGAAAUCUCAUUGGCAAGAGUUAAUUCUUAUAUGUGAGAGUUGAUAGGAGUUCAUGAAAUUUUCUCAUAUGUUCAUAAAUAUGUAUCACCAAGAUACUCAAUAUUGUGUGUUGGAUGGAAGGGGUAGUAGACCAAACCUUAAUUUUGAUUGGGAAGUUUCUACUUUUUUGGGUGCGUGUUUCUCCUAGCUCAUUUCUUGUUUUUGUUCAACAUUGACAUAUAGAAAAAAAUUUAAUAUUUUUCUUUCUGGCAUUAAGACCUUUUAUUUCAUACUAUACAUGUGG